Long non-coding RNA from Canis lupus familiaris (dog), 631 nucleotides. RefSeq lists it as uncharacterized. The record is from RefSeq and is a predicted model, not a curated record. Lineage: Eukaryota; Metazoa; Chordata; Mammalia; Carnivora; Canidae. The transcript has 3 exons.
UGGAAGCACUCGUGCUUUGGAUCUGGCUCACAGCGACCCGACUCUCCCGCUCUCCCCAGUACCCUAGUACUUCCGCUCUCCCCAGUACCCCAGUACCCCAACUCUCCCCAGUACCCCAACUCUCCCACUCUCCCCAGUUCCCCAACUCUCUCACUCUCCCCAGUACCCCGGUGCAUAAAGAGGAGGCGCUCACACAGUGAUAGGUCACAGUUGCCCUUUCCAGGCCCUCACAAAACCUUUCCUGCUGUGACCCUGCUCAUUCCUUCUCUGCUGAAGCUCAUCAUUCCUUUUAUCUGAUCCCCCUAAGGAGUCCAAAGUGGCAGCUCACUUGUCUGUUCCAUUAACCAGGUGAUUUGGCAAGAGGUGGUGCAAAGAAGAAAGAGAGAGAAGAGAAGAAAUGAGGAUGAUAAGAAAUCAAUAUGUGUUAGAUUCCUGCCAUGUGCCAAGCACACUAGGAACAUGAAAUCUUCACAACAAUUCUGUGAAGCAGGUAAUAGUACUCCCAUUGGAGAGAUGAGGAGAUAAGAUUUAGGAAAGAUAAGUAAAUUGCCUGUAUUAGUUCAUCUAUUUGGGUAGACUCCAAAUUCUUUGUGGGAAUGACCAGCUGAGUGGACAAGGAAACAUACGAAAA